Oreochromis niloticus (Nile tilapia) is the source of this 1616-nucleotide long non-coding RNA. RefSeq annotates it as NACHT, LRR and PYD domains-containing protein 5. The record is from RefSeq and is a predicted model, not a curated record. The transcript has 6 exons. Lineage: Eukaryota; Metazoa; Chordata; Actinopteri; Cichliformes; Cichlidae.
UGAACUCUGUAAGCAGUCAGCUCGGUCCUGGACAUUGUUACUGACAUAAAGCUGCUCUCUGCAGCCAUGUUUGACCUGCUGCUUUGUAGGACUACAGUAAUGGAGGAUUUGGAGGCUGAACUCGGCUCUGUGACACUUUUUGUAGUGAACUGAUGAAAGCUGCGUCUCAGAUGGAUGUUAGUCCAACACAUCAGACACGACCUCUGCAGCUCUCAGUUGAUGUGCACAUGAAUGAUUUGUGUUUCCUCUGCAGGUGAAGGUAGAAAGUGUGUGUGAGCUGAUGUGAAUUGAGCAGCAUGGAUCAGUGUGAGGACAGAGAGGAGGGAGUCCCUCCCUCUAAAAGCACUCUGUGUGGGGAACAUGAGAGCCAGACCAAAGCUCAGAGCCCAGAGCUGUGGGGCGUACCAGGCUCAGCUGGACAUAACCCUAAAACUAAUCCAGAACCUGGACCUGAACCCAGCUGUGUUUCCUUAAAGAGCAACGAGUCGAAGGAAAUUAUUGAAAACUUUAACAAAAGACUGUUAUGUGACAAAAAGAUCAAUAAGAGGCCAGAAUCUCCUGGACCUGAACCCAGCUGUGUUUCCUUAAAGAGCAACAUGUCGAAGGGUGUUGGUGUUUACUUUAAAGGCUGUUCUUCUGCUGCUGAGAGAGUGGAGCAGGAGAGAGCAGAGGUUUCCACUGGUCAGUCUGCACAGCAACAUCAAACACACCUGGACUCUGUGGUUAUGCGGCUGGAGGACAACAUCACCAUGUUUGUGAAGAACGAGCUGAAGAAGAUCCAGAAGCUUCUGAGUCCAGAUCACCCAGAAACUUUAAAGAGCCAGAUGGAGGAUGAGGAGAUGUUUGGAGGUGAGGAUGAAGAUGAAAGAAAGAGCUGCAGAGAAGCAUUUCUGAAGAUCACACUCCACUUCUUGAGGAGACUUAAGCAGCAUGAGAUGGCUGACCAUCUGCAGAGCAAAAUAUUUGCUUCACUCUGUAAACGUGAACUUAAAGCCCAACUGAAGAAGAAGUUCCAGUGUGUGUUUGAGGGCAUCGCUAAAGCAGGAAGCCCAACCCUCCUGAAUCAGAUCUACACAGAGCUCCACAUCACAGAGGGAGGGACUGCAGAGGUCAAUGAUGAACAUGAGGUCAGACAGAUUGAAACAGCAUCCAGGAAACCAGACAGAGCAGAAACAACCAUCAGACAAGAAGACCUCUUUAAAGUCUCACCUGGAAGAGACGAACCAAUCAGAACAGUGCUGACAAAGGGAGUGGCUGGCAUUGGGAAAACAGUCUUAACACAGAAAUACAGCCUGGACUGGGCUGAAGACAAAGCCAACCAGGACAUCCAGUUCAUAUUUCCAUUCACUUUCAGAGAGCUGAAUGUGCUGAAAGAGGAAAAGUUCAGCUUGGUGGAACUUGUUCAUCACUUCUUUAAUCAAAGUAACCAAUCAGGAAUCUGCAGGCUUGAAGACUUCCAGGUUGUGUUCAUACUUGAUGGUCUGGAUGAGUGUCGACUUAAUUUGGACUUCAACAAAACUAAAAUCCUGACUGAAACAAGAAAGUCCACCUCAUUGGAUGAGCUGCUGACAAACCUCAUCAGAGGGAACCUGCUCCCUUCUGCUCGCCUUGGAUAA